RNAcentral lists this transfer RNA (71 nucleotides) under bovine gut metagenome. It matches the Rfam family "tRNA". Rfam says of the family: Transfer RNA (tRNA) molecules are approximately 80 nucleotides in length. Their secondary structure includes four short double-helical elements and three loops (D, anti-codon, and T loops). Further hydrogen bonds mediate the characteristic L-shaped molecular structure. tRNAs have two regions of fundamental functional importance: the anti-codon, which is responsible for specific mRNA codon recognition, and the 3' end, to which the tRNAs corresponding amino acid is attached (by aminoacyl-tRNA synthetases). tRNAs cope with the degeneracy of the genetic code in two manners: having more than one tRNA (with a specific anti-codon) for a particular amino acid; and 'wobble' base-pairing, i.e. permitting non-standard base-pairing at the 3rd anti-codon position. The record is from RNAcentral.
GUGCUGUAGCUCAGUUGGUAGAGCAACGGACUGAAAAUCCGUGUGUCACUGGUUCAAUUCCGGUCAGCACC